CUUAUGAUGUCACUAUAUGUAUGAAACUUGAUUCUGGCAUACAUAUAGGUAGCACUUGGUUUUGUCCUUAAAACCGGGUGUGACAGAAGUGGUAUCAGAGCUCUAUCGACUGUAGGACGUAAGCCUAGAUAGCAAUGGCCGCUUCUUAAGGUAUGUUUUACCAUAAAAAUAAUUCUUACCUUAUCAUUGACCUCUCUGAUCUCUAUUUUCACUCCUUGUACAUCUUAUCUACACCUUGGUUGCUUAUUUUUGAUCAACUUUGACUCUUAGUCCUUUACCCCCACCUUGUCUUGCUAUUUCUAAACUCUCCAUCCCUGACUUAUCUUGUGAAAAUUAUCACUCCUUGACCAUUUUCUUUUCUCAAUUCUCCUUGAUAACUUAGUCUUUUCCACCGGGCCCUUUUCAUUUGCACUUCUUGUUUUGCAAAUGUUAGACCCUCAACCCUUGUCUGUUUAUUUCCUCUCUCCUUGAUCACUGCUUGAUCAUGAUUAUACAUCUCCUCCU
Molecule: long non-coding RNA, 504 nt
Filed under: Setaria viridis
Lineage: Eukaryota; Viridiplantae; Streptophyta; Magnoliopsida; Poales; Poaceae
Description: long non-coding RNA (SVIR_LNC003344)
Source: RNAcentral